Small nuclear RNA from Solanum dulcamara, 117 nucleotides. RefSeq annotates it as U5 spliceosomal RNA. The record is from RefSeq and is a predicted model, not a curated record. The transcript has a single exon. Lineage: Eukaryota; Viridiplantae; Streptophyta; Magnoliopsida; Solanales; Solanaceae.
AGCCAUGCAAUGAGUACAAUGCAAACUAUUCUUUCGCCUUUUACUAAAGAAUACCGUGUGCGCAUUGUAAAUAGUGGCAUACGCUAAUUUUUUGAGGGGAUAUCUUAGUUGAGAUCC